Long non-coding RNA from Mytilus trossulus (common blue mussel), 1065 nucleotides. RefSeq lists it as uncharacterized. The record is from RefSeq and is a predicted model, not a curated record. The transcript is spliced from 7 exons. Lineage: Eukaryota; Metazoa; Mollusca; Bivalvia; Mytilida; Mytilidae.
CUAAUUUGUGAACACUUUAUCAUGGAAUUCAUUUUGAAUUAUUAGUUACACGAAACAGGCUGUUCACUUAGGAUAAACAUCACUUUGGUUGGAAAGUCUCUUGCAUAAGAUGGAUGAGCCCAGAUGAAAGUUCAGUCCUAGACCUGAAGGAAGACGGUUUCAUUUUAGUUGCCAGAUAAUGAUGAUGUUCCGGUGGCGGUCCAGGGAUCAGAAAGUGAGAUGUUUUAAGUUUGUAUUACAGAUGGAUGAGUCCAGAUGAAAGUACAGUCCUAUUCCUUAAGGAAUAUGGUUUCAAUACAGUUGGCAGAUAAUGAGGAUGCAAAAAGAGCAGAGACACAGAAAACUACGCCAUUCACACAGAUGUUUCAGUUGAGAUGGUAGAUGAGUAGCAACUCCAUGGAAGAUGUUUACUUAGAUCUUCAACCAAGUCCGAGGCUUUGCCAUGUAAUUUAUAAAACAGUGCCAAUGUUUUCAUGAAGGGGAGUAAGACUUGUGGUAUAAGAUAUCUUAAAUACAAAUUUUUUUCCAGUAGCAGGCCAGUCCCAAGUUUCAGUCCAGAUGGCAGAUGAGUAGCAACUCCAUGGAAGAUGUUUACUUAAAUCUUCAACCAAGUCCGAGGCUUUGUCAUGUAAGCAAUCAAGCACCAAGGAUAGCAGCUGGAAUGAAGAUUAAUUAUUACAUUGAUCUUCAAACAAGUCUGAGGCUUUGUCAUGAAAGAAAUAAUGCAAGUAUAUUCAAGCCAAAUAAUUCUGUACAUUAUCAGGGAAAAUGUGAUAAAGUCUAUAAGCAUUAUCUAUAAGGCAGCAUACAUUUUGGUUGUUUUGCACAUUUACAACACACAAAAAAGAUUUUUAUCAGUUUAGAUGUUUUUUUGGGACACAAAUAAUAUUUAAUGCCAUGAAAAGUCAAUCCUGAUUGAAUUUUUACUUCAAGGGAGACUAGUACAAUAAACUGCAAGAAUGUUUCUUUCAGUGGGAGAUAACUCACUAUUAUGCAAUCUGAAUACAGAAUAGAUUAAUAAAAGUUUAGGCUGCAAUUUAACAAAUUUGUAUAAUAUAUAAUUUG